This 1464-nucleotide long non-coding RNA is filed under the name Sitophilus oryzae (rice weevil). RNAcentral describes it as "uncharacterized LOC115884947, transcript variant X2". The record is from RNAcentral. Lineage: Eukaryota; Metazoa; Arthropoda; Insecta; Coleoptera; Curculionidae.
ACAUUUAACAGAAAUCUAUAUUUUUAGGGUUCCAAAAAGUGUUUGAUCAGAGUCAUCUAUUAUUUUUAUUUAGCACCAUUUAUGAUUUUUUUAACCGAAAAAUUAAACAUGUCUUACUGCCGUUUGCCGUCAGGGAUUACGAUUUUUUGAAAUGUUUGCUGGAAAAGGUGAUUUUAUUGUGUAUUAUUUGUUCAUAAACUUUUCUUAAGGCUCUGCUCGAUCAUCUAUAAUAGAAAGGUAAAUCGCAAAAUUUUUAGAUACAUUAACCAGGAAAAGAUCCUAUCUAAGGAAUUUCUUGUUUUGAUCUGGAUAUUCUCACACCUUUUUUACGUAGUAGACAUUAAUAAUAGCACAUAUGAGCAUGCAUUCUUCAUGCAUCCUUUCACAGAAGAGGAGGUAGGAGUGAUCUCAGAGAAGGUAGCUAAUCUUUGACCAAGGAUUAAAUCCGAUGCAGGAAGAUAAAAAGCAUUGGGAGACAAAGAUUUAUGGCAAAUUGAGGCUUAUCAAACACAGUUCAGCCAUAUCUAUAACUACGACUUUGAAACUAAACAAAUAGGCUUUAUCUUCGUGGCAGUUGAUGGUUAUGUCCUUUUUCAUCUGCAACAUUUGAAGAAGAUGCCCAUUACAUUGAAUAAAUUCAACAUUCGACAGUGGAAUCACGAAAUUCAACAUUGAAGAGAACCUAAUUCAUUUUAGAUUUUGUACAACAAAUCGAUGGUUGUAUACAGUUCCAGGGCAGUACAUUUAUCUUUUUCAUGAAUAUUACCAACAAUGCAUAAGGACACAAGUAUAUCUAAUUUUUUUGGCCUUUGGCCACUUCAUUUUCUUAUUGGUAAAAUCUAAUUAGAAUUUUACAUCCUGUUGUUUUUGGUUAACUUUCAAUUUUCUAUAAUAUCCUGAGUCCCAUAUUUUCUCCAUUGUGGUAAUAAUAACAUCAUUCAUUAAUUCUUUAAAGUAUUUUAUUGCCUGUAUUUCAAUAAGUCUCUUUUAUUUGCAUUAUUUUUCUUAUGGUGUUAUUUUUCUAAUGCUUUUUUGCUUGUGUAAUUCCUUGUACAGAAUUUUAGUUUUGAUGGAUACAUUUUUAUGUCAUUUUUUUCAGAUUGUAUCCCAUGAAUUGCUAUAAUUUUACAGAUCUUGUUGGUUCCCUUUGCCCGUGUUUAAACACACAAAAUACACUUAAAACUCCCACAAUAAGAACUAUUCCCAAUCAAUUCCUGGCGCAUUCGCCAUUUAUUCAAAAAACCUGACUCGUCCUCAGACGAUGUCACUUCUGUUUUUCCCAGCCUUUUUUUCAAUGAAUUUUUCUGAAUAAUAUGGACUCCAGAGCAUCACAGCUAGCCUCCCCGCAAAAGAGGAGACCCGGGUCGCUCCCUAACCCUGAUGUUCGGGCAUCGAUGACCUAUGUAGCAUGCAUAGGUACCCAAGGGAGUCACCACUCUCUGGUUUACGAGCUAGGUGUUCUAA